AAGCAACACUCUUACAAGGUGAUCAUAACUGUCUGACACAACUUGAGCUUGCUAUAGCAACAAAGUCUCACCUUUUCUGGUACAUUUUCCUCUGUGAGACAAGCCAUUAUAUAGACUUAGUGUAA
This is a small nucleolar RNA of Pteronotus mesoamericanus, 125 nucleotides long. RefSeq annotates it as small nucleolar RNA SNORA28. The record is from RefSeq and is a predicted model, not a curated record. Lineage: Eukaryota; Metazoa; Chordata; Mammalia; Chiroptera; Mormoopidae. The transcript has a single exon.